AGAGAGAGAGAGAGCAACAUGGUGGAAUACAGAUAGUUAAGUAUGUACAGGUGGUAGAGUGAGAGCAACAUGGUGGAAUACAGAUAGUUAAGUAUGUACAGGUGGUAGAGAGAGAGAGCAACAUGGUGGAAUACAGAUAGUUAAGUAUGUACAGGUGGUAGAGAGAGAGCAACAUGGUGGAAUACAGAUAGUUAAGUAUGUACAGGUGGUAGAGUGAGAGAGAGCAACAUGGUGGAAUACAGAUAGUUAAGUAUGUACAGGUGGUAGAGUGAGAGCAACAUGGUGGAAUACAGAUAGUUAAGUAUGUACAGGUGGUAGAGAGAGAGCAACAUGGUGGAAUACAGAUAGUUAAGUAUGUACAGGUGGUAGAGUGAGAGCAACAUGGUGGAAUACAGAUAGUUAAGUAUGUACAGGUGGUAGAGUGAGAGCAACAUGGUGGAAUACAGAUAGUUAAGUAUGUACAGGUGGUAGAGAGAGAGCAACAUGGUGGAAUACAGAUAGUUAAGUAUGUACAGGUGGUAGAGUGAGAGCAACAUGGUGGAAUACAGAUAGCUAAGUAUGUACAGGUGGUAGAGUGAGAGAGAGCAACAUGGUGGAAUACAGAU
Long non-coding RNA from Biomphalaria glabrata, 605 nucleotides. RefSeq lists it as uncharacterized. Lineage: Eukaryota; Metazoa; Mollusca; Gastropoda; Planorbidae. The record is from RefSeq and is a predicted model, not a curated record. The transcript is spliced from 9 exons.